UGCAGCUCUGGAGAGGAGCCCAGUCCUGAUGCCCAGGUGUUUCCUCUCAGUGAUCAGGACUGAGCAAAGACAGCACAUCAUACAGCUUGCACUGAGUUGGGUUUUCCUCGUUGCUGUUUUAAAAGGUGUCCAGGCUGAGGUGCAGCUGGUGGAGUCCGGCAGAGGCUUGGUGCAGCCUGAGGGGUCCCUGAGACUCACUUGUGCAGCCUCUGGAUUCACCUUCAGCGACUACUACAUGGACUGGAUCCGCCAGGCUCCAGGGAAGGGGCUGGAGUGGGUUGGUUUUAUUAGAAACAAGGCUAAUAGUCACACAACAGAAUACGCUACGUCUGUGAAAGGCAGAUUCACCAUCUCCAGAGAUGACUCCAAAAGCACAGUGUAUCUUCAAAUGACCAAAUUGAAAACCGAGGACACGGCCAUGUAUUACUGUGCAAGAGACACAGUGAGAGGACAUCAUUGA
Non-coding RNA from Chinchilla lanigera (long-tailed chinchilla), 460 nucleotides. NCBI's taxonomy places the organism in Eukaryota, Metazoa, Chordata, Mammalia, Rodentia, Chinchillidae. The record is from the annotation of a RefSeq genome assembly.